GACGAACGCUGGCGGCGCGCCUAACACAUGCAAGUCGAACGGAGCUGAGAGAAGCUUGCUUUUCUUAGCUUAGUGGCGAACGGGUGAGUAACGCGUGAGUAACCUGCCCUGGAGUGGGGGACAACAGUUGGAAACGACUGCUAAUACCGCAUAAGCCCACGAUCCGGCAUCGGAUUGAGGGAAAAGGAUUUAUUCGCUUCAGGAUGGACUCGCGUCCAAUUAGCUAGUUGGUGAGGUAACGGCCCACCAAGGCGACGAUUGGUAGCCGGACUGAGAGGUUGAUCGGCCACAUUGGGACUGAGACACGGCCCAGACUCCUACGGGAGGCAGCAGUGGGGGAUAUUGCACAAUGGGGGAAACCCUGAUGCAGCGACGCCGCGUGGAGGAAGAAGGUUUUCGGAUUGUAAACUCCUGUCGUUAGGGACGAUAAUGACGGUACCUAACAAGAAAGCACCGGCUAACUACGUG
Molecule: ribosomal RNA, 468 nt
Filed under: uncultured bacterium
Lineage: Bacteria
Description: partial 16S ribosomal RNA
Rfam family: Bacterial small subunit ribosomal RNA
Source: RNAcentral